Myotis davidii is the source of this 76-nucleotide non-coding RNA. The record is from Rfam. NCBI's taxonomy places the organism in Eukaryota, Metazoa, Chordata, Mammalia, Chiroptera, Vespertilionidae.
GAGACACCCUUAUGGGGCAAGACUUGCUUCAGUGGGGCUUUGGUGCUUACAGAGUCUGCCCCCUGAGUGUGUCCUU